GAACGAGAAAGUGGAGCAAUCCAUGAGUAAAGUGGCGACCGGGUGAGUAACACGUGACUAACCUACCUUCGAGUGGGGGAUAACCUCGGGAAACCGAGGCUAAUACCGCAUAACAUCGCAAGAUCAAAGCAGCAAUGCGCUUGAAGAGGGGGUCGCGGCUGAUUAGCUAGUUGGCGGGGUAACGGCCCACCAAGGCGAAGAUCGGUAUCCGGCCUGAGAGGGCGCACGGACACACUGGAACUGAAACACGGUCCAGACUCCUACGGGAGGCAGCAGUGGGGAAUUUUGCGCAAUGGGGGAAACCCUGACGCAGCAACGCCGCGUGGAGGAUGAAGCCCCUUGGGGCGUAAACUCCUUUCGACCAAGACGAUAAUGACGGUACUGGUGGAAGAAGCACCGGCUAACUCUGUG
RNAcentral lists this ribosomal RNA (411 nucleotides) under uncultured bacterium. RNAcentral describes it as "bacterial SSU rRNA". It matches the Rfam family "Bacterial small subunit ribosomal RNA", at positions 64 to 507 of the family's 1533-position model. The record is from RNAcentral.